CCCUGAUAAAUCACAGCGAGCCUCCUAGUGACUCUGUUCUGCUCCAACGUGAGUGCGCUUAUGAAACGGGUUCCUUCCUCUCCCCUGGGAUGCAGCCACCAGGACACCAAGACCUCUGCUCGGAGACAGAGACUCAUAGGGGCGUGUUGGUAGCUGAAGCCUGGAGGAGAACUCAAGAAAACCCUUGCAAAAUGAGGAUCACAUUAGAAGUCCUGGACAGUCAACAAGCCACCAGAGGAGGCACGCUGGUGACAAAGAUGUUCUUUCUCCAGCCUGCUUGACAACCUCCAGCCCAAGGACUCCCGGGAGCUGGGGUGGCCCCCUUCCCAAAGGACAUCUCUAGUCUACUUCAACUUAUCUAGGACCUCAAUAUCCCCACCCGCUCCUGCUUGCUAAUUUCUGCAUGACUCCACGGUGGACACAAACCACAGCACUCGAGCAGAGAACAAUGAAGCCCUGAGAAGACCAGUGGGGUAGCUGGGAAAAGUCUUAAAGACCUACAAAACCAAAUGGUGGAAAUCUCUCAAGAGAGGCUUUUGGGUCAAGUGUAAAGUUCCUGGACCAACGUGCCUGCAGGGAGGGGACACCAGCUUACCUGCAGAAGGUCACCGGGACUUCCAUUCCCCUUUGGGGGCCAGGAGAUGGUCUGUUUGCUUCAACAGAUUCAUAAAGAAUCUUGUCCUCUUGGCUGUCCCUGAGAAGGAGCAAGGUCAUUGCAAGCUCUUGGUUCUUCCCUCUCUUUUGGGCAGAUAAGCCACAUCCCUGUCAGGUCUACUAUGGAAAGAGGAUGGAUUCUUGCUUUGCACUAAAAAUUCCAUGCGACCCCAAAGCAGGGCUGACUUCAGAGGAGACCCAGGCUGCAGCCAGCCUGGCAGGGCCUGCACACAUCUCUGUGCUCCUGGAGAGGCCCCCGGCCUGCGGCCAUGUGGACCCUGAGCCUCUCUCUGGGCAGCUCAACUGCUAGGUCCCUGCUUGGCUCCCAGGUCAGAAUGUUCCCGAGCAGCUGCCCCAGGACACAAAUAACAGCUCCAGGAAGCAGAGCUCAGAGACAGCAGGGCUCAGCCUCUAGGACUCCUGGGUCUUAGGGUCAGAGUGGCCUGGAGCUUUGGGUGGGCAACCAGGGGCUCAGGAUGGGAAUCGGCACCCCUGGGACUAAUGGGGCCCUGGAGCCGGGGUCACCAGCCUGAUGGCCGGGCUUCUGACGUGCUCCUGUGCCCCUGGCUGGCUCCCUUUGUGAAUGCCACUGCUGCUGCAGGCCAGCUGGGGCCACCAACCACUGAUGAGGAUGGGCCCCUCCAGAGGGUCUCUAAUUUCCACAGCAGUGAGUGGGUGCAGCCCGCUUCCAGUAGGUGCUCAAGAAAAGCCCAUCAUUCACUCAUUCAACAAACAUUUGCUGAAAACCUUCCGUGCUCCAAGUCACGGCAGAUGCCUGUUUGGCAGUCCUAAGGGGAGCUGCUCUGAGGCUAAACGGGCUUGGCAAGAAAGACUUCAGGAAAGAGAUGGUUAGGACCAGGUUUCUGGAGAUAAAGGAAGAGGAAGGAGUGAGGGCAGAAGCUGAAACGAGCAGCAUGAGAAUGUGCACCGCUCCCAGGGGGGCUGCCCUGAGGGGCGGGUGGGUGUGGGCAGCAGAUGAGGUUGGAACGCGACGAGGAAGGCGAGUUCUAUCUUGAUUGUGGAUGGGGGUCUCUGGAGGGUAGAGAGGGCAGGCUGGAGGGACAGGAUGGAGUGCUGGAGACCCAUGGGAGGUUUUACAGCAGUCCAGAGGAGACCGGGCGAGGACCUUGGCCAGCACGGUGGCCGAGCAGACGCAGUGACAGGAUGGACAGUGGAGAGGUUUAACAACAGAAUGGACAGACCUAGAGUAGUCACUGGCUGUGGGGGGUAAGGAGCAGGAGGAGUCAGGGACAUGCGGAUGGGAACAUGGGGGUUGGGAUGGGGGCUCCACAUCAGGAAACCCAGGGGGAGGCUGAGAUGUGAAGAGUCACGUGGGGGAAGAAGUGAGUCUGAAGUGCUGUGGACGCCCAAGGCUCUGCCCAGGAAGCAGCUGUCAUGUGGCUCAGGAGCACAGAGAGGGCUGGCCUGGGACGGGACAGGACACAGGAGCCUGCGGACUGUGUCCUGGCUCUUUCCUUGUCCUGUUUAGUCUGCAGGGCAGCCGGAGAGAUACAGCUAAAUUGCCCCAAGGGCACCGGCCUCUUGUCUGUUCCUCACCCCUCCCUCAGGGCCGUUGCUCCUUUUCACCCCUGGCCUCAACAUGCUUGUCCAGAUACCCACAUGGCUGCCCCUCACCUUGCCAGGUCUUUGCUCAGAGUCCCCUGAGUGUGCUGUUUAAAGUCGCAGCGCUCCCCACCUUCCGGCCUGGCGCUCUCGGACUUCUUUUCCUGCUUUAUUUCUCAGACUUCUUUUCCUGCUUUAUUUCUCAGGGGGGUCGUUGGGCCAUCUGAGAUUUCCUGACUUAUUUUGUCAUCGGCUUUCACCCAUUAGCAUGUGAGCUCCCAGCGGCAGGGACGUCUGUGGCGAUCAGGGCCUCUCACUUCAGCACAGGCACACGGUAGAUCCUAAAUAAACACUUAUCUAUGGAGUGAAUGAAUGCAUGGAUGUGGGCCUCUGGCUGCCAUCGCUGCUGAAUAAACGACCACUUGAUCUGCUGCUGACUCACGGCGCACUCUCCCUGCCUUGCUUGGGUCCUGGGCCAUGUAGGGGAUUGGGUUCCAGAAGGGGAGCUAGGGACCCUGGUUCUAGGUGGCCUGGACUUCAGAAGCUGCCCCUGAAGUUCGGGGAUGGAUCCGCAGCCUCUGUGUGUGGGUGGGGAUUUUAGCAUGCACUGGGCCAUGCUCAGGACCUCGCACAGGUCUGGAGGGGAACCAGGGCCUCGGCAUGGCGUCUGUGGCCUGAAAGGAAUAAAUCCAUCCUUGCUUCAAAGGCUCCCAGAGUGUUCAGGUCUUCCACGUCAACCCACAUACUUUGGCAGGGGCAGAUGCAAAAACAAAACCUACAGGAAACAAUCUGGGGAGAGCAGGAGGUGGAGCGUGAAAUGGACAAAACAUAUAGGUCUGAGCUGGAACAAACAGCAGGGAGAAGGACCUGCCCGACCGAGGGCCUUCGAGAAAACCAGAAGCUAGAACUCUGCUUGGGCAGAGGCAAAAAAACUUCAGAAUGUGUGCUUCUUUCAAAGCUGCAUCCCUCCCUGGUCCCAGGGCAGAGAGAGUAUCAGAGGAAUACAACAGAAGAAAAGCGGGCAAGGGGCAGGAGCGGGCUUGGGGCCAGGAAGCCCAGCCAUGCAGUUGGCUCUUCCAUAGAUGCUGUGUGACCUUGAACGUCUCCCUUCCCUCUCUAGGCCUCUGCUUUUGUCUGUAAAGUGAGGUGUCUGAACACUGGGCCUUCCAGCACAGCUGGCUGCUCCAUUUCCUGGUCUUUAGGCAGCCUCCCUUUGGAAGGGCUGGCUGGGCUCUCCCAGGAUGCCAGCUGCAUGCCUUUGCAAGUUAUCACAAUAUGGCAGGACCCAGAAUAGACGUUGACAGUUGUUCAGUGCACAGCUUGUACAGCUGUACAUGGCAGCCUCACCUGCCCUGUGCUUACAGAACUAGCACCCCCUUUAAAGGUCACUGAGUCCCAAAUUUGGGAAGGCUCCUGAGAGAAUUGUUCUGAGUAACCAGAGUGCUGGAUUUAGCUUCUGGACCAUGUAACAUCCAGAUGGCUGCUGAGUUGGACUGUUUGCUCAACUCAGAUUUUCCUCUGAGGCAGAGAGGAAAAGCCUACUUCUCUGCAGGUCCCAAAUGGGCUUUCUGUCUGCUGACCCUUGUGUUCUAGCCAACAGGGGUGGCAGGAGAUCUUCUCUGGGGUCCUGGGGCCAAGGCCGCUCAACUUGGCUCCCACUGAAAAGGCAACCUGCAAAUGACUUUGCCACGUUUCACAUCUCCACAGCAGUGUGGAGUGGAGCUAAACCGAGGUGGGUGGGUGGCGGGAUUCCGGGAUAACCCUGGUCCCCAAGGCCACAGCUCCAAGGGUGCCCCACAGGCCCAGGGCCGCCUCCACCUGGACACACCCAGGCCGCCCUAUUAAUAGACCAGCUGCCAGCGCACUGCCUUCUUCGGAGUUUCCAUUUCAUGUGCUCUAGAUCUGGCUGUCCCAGUGGGGACAGCUUCCUUGCAAAACAAACAGCAAAAUCAAUAUUUCCUUCACCAGGGGAAGUGUAGGCAGGCCAGGCCUUUCUCCAUUCCUGCAGGCAAGGCACAAGCCCAGGAACGGGGCGCAAAGGCCGCCUGGCUCAUUUCUGCCUCAAUUCAGCCAUUUGAUUAUAUUAAAUUCACAGACAUUUAUUGAGCAACUUCAACAUAUCAAACCCCAGUGGGCGGGUGGAGAGAAGAAUGAAUAAGACGCAUCCUGGGGCUCGAGGAACACACGUGUAACCAGGAGACAAACACAUAAACCAAGAGCUAUGGUGUGACGCGUGAGUGAGGCAGUGAGGAUGUGGCCGGGAGGCCCGGUGUCUGAAAUCAUCAAUCUUUGGGUACGGCUGGUGUCUGAGAGUGUGGAGAUUGCCUCCUGGUGCCUCUCUCUCGGCAGGCUUAACCGGAGAGCUCUGGGUGAGACUUGUCUUCCGGGGGCUGGUGGGUGCUCCAAGCCAGGCCCGGCACAAUUUCACUCUGCCUCUUCUCUGUGGCCUCCAGUCCACCUGCCGGUACAGCCUAGAACAACCCUGGCCUCAAAUCUCAGUGCAUAAAAAGUCCCGAGGGAGAUUGUUAAAAAUGCAAAUAUAGGCCACAGCCCUAGAGACUCAGAAUCAAUAAACUUUGGUUAGGGGAGAGGCAAUGUCUGGGAAUCUGCCUGUUCUAUAAGCAGGAGGCCUCAGACCACAGUCUAAGAAGCACCACACUGGAUCUGGGCUCCUUGGGGCAGGGGCCAGGGAGAGAAGCCCAGAGGUACCACUGCUGUGGUGUGGAGAAAACCCCAUGGAAGGGAAACAGACUUGCCUGUGGCUGAAGCAUGUGUCUCCAGGGCCCAGGCGGGCAAGGGGAGGCCUGGGAGGCUGAAGGUGGGUGGGGAGCAGCCCUCGGAGCUCUGACUUAGCUGCUGUUGAGAGUGGGCAACCUGAAACUGGUGAGGGGUGCUGAGGCCUGCUCCCAAGUGGGCAGGUGCACCUUCCCACUGGGCCAAGGGAGAGUCCUGGCCAUACCAACUCAGCCUCUCUCCUGGGGCCCACUCGAUGUUCAGCUUCAUGCCGGGCUGGGUGGCAGGGAGGCCAGGAGGAGGAGCAGGCACUGGCACCACCCCAGGGGUGUGUGCAGGGUUGUCAGGCUACUCACAGGGCAGGGGCAAGCCCAAAGUGCAUGGCGGGGACCAGGUCAUCCAGAAUUGUCAGAGGUUACAGAGAAGGAUGAGGGAGGUGAGGGCCGUGGAUGGGAUCUGAGGACAGCAGAGGGCAGGUGAGAGGACUUUUUAGAAAUAAACGCGACAGAUGAACAGGCUGGAAGACACAUGAGAAAAAUUGUUACAACGAGGCCAGCACACAAGGCCAUUCCUUCCCUAGCCUCUAAAUUAUUAGUCCAUAACAAUAAAACACUUUCCCUGCCCAUGCGUCAGGAUUCUUGGAGGAGCAAGAAUGAGAAGGACCACACGGACUUUAGACCCCAGACACGGAACCGCUUAGCAGGCAUGUUUUAGGAUAAUAAAGGAAUCUAAUGGAGAAGUGGUGCUUCCUUCCCCCAGAGCUCCGAUUAGGCUCUGGAAUAUGGGUGACACGUACGCCGUGGAGGACACAGCGCAGUUAGAAUUCUGCCAGCAAACAUUCUCAAAUAUUCAUGAAACAUGGGACCAGGCCUGACUGUUAACACUGCAACUGGUUCCCUCCAAUGGAGUGACAAAUGGGCGCCAAGCACUGUCAUCUGUCCCUUUGAUCUUUCCAGCUCCUGCCAGGCAGUGGAGGGGGGACUCGGGUAGCCCGGGGGAGGCUGGGCUCUCCUGGUGGCUUAUAUUUCCAUGUACGAGGGCUUGAGAACAGCAAAUUUCCUCUGACUCUAAGGCAAAAUCAUUGAUUCUCCAAGUCUUACUCCAUCAAAAGUGAUUAGUGGGGGGCCCUGAGGAUUCCACUCCACCACGCUCACCUCCUUUAUGAAAGGAGCAUUGUUAUAUACACAAAUAUCAACGAACAGCACCGGCAAAAAGCAAAAUGUCCAA
RNAcentral lists this long non-coding RNA (6177 nucleotides) under Homo sapiens (human). RNAcentral's name for it is "HSALNT0301145". Lineage: Eukaryota; Metazoa; Chordata; Mammalia; Primates; Hominidae. The record is from RNAcentral.